Podarcis lilfordi (Lilford's wall lizard) is the source of this 74-nucleotide non-coding RNA. NCBI's taxonomy places the organism in Eukaryota, Metazoa, Chordata, Lepidosauria, Squamata, Lacertidae. The record is from the annotation of a GenBank genome assembly.
UGUCCAAUAGAUCAGUUGGUAGAGCACAAGAAUCUUAAUCUCAGGUUGAUGGGUUUGAGCCCCACCUUGGGCAG